CUUCAGGCCAACAAACACUCCUCGAGGAGAUUUAGACAAAUACAGUAGAGACAACUGUUUAAAGAGACCAGGGUGGCUGACGGUUUUUCACCUUUCAACUAUUCAAUGGAAAAAAAGAGACAAUCGAGUCCAAAAUAAAAGGAUAAACAGAGAUUUGUCUCAUCAUUGGAUUAAAACAAAGAGUGAAGUCCCAGUGUAACCCCUGGUCAAAAAGUCAAACCCUUUUCAAGUUAGGGGAGAAAACCAAGAAACAAAACAUAACUUGACACCAAGACAAACUGAAGUCAUGGCAGAUGGAGCGAAUCAUCUGACGUAACAUCUGAACUCAGCAUAAAACAGGAGUGGCGAGUCUGGUAGAAAUGUUGGCAACAAGACAUCCAAACACAGAUGGACAGGACAUGUUGAUCAUCAGAAACACCAACUGGAGUCCUUGUGAACACAGAAGACCAAAAACAAGAUUGAGAGAUGAGUUUACGCAACACAAACGCUACGCCUCACUUGGCAGAGACCGGCUCGAGAUAAACGAGCCAUAUUGUGGAGGGGGGCGUGGCCCGCGGGCCUGCAGCGGAACGGGGUGUGCCAGGACCGGCCUCGAAGUCAGCGACAGCAACCGGGAGGAGAGACGGUGUUGGAGCUGGGGGAGAGCGAGAGCAAGACGGACAGCCACAAAAAGACAAUUGCUGAAAAGCAACACAGAGACCCAUCCAUUCAUCCAUCCAUUUUCUACCGCUUAUUCCCUUUGGGGUCGCGGGGGGCGCUGGAGACUAUCUCAGCUACAAUCGGGCGGAAGGCGGGGUUCACCCAGGACAAGUCGCCACAGGGCCAAUACAGAUAGACAACAUUCACACUCACAUUCACACACUAGGGCAGAGACUUCAUUGGAAAAAUAAAACUGUAUUGUGAACCUGAACCGGGCUCUCAUGUCGGUGUUUGGUGGUCCAAAGAACCCCCUGGAGGGCAACCUCCACACAUAUGUAAUAAUUUCAUGUCAAGUCAUCAUUAAAUGGCCCUGAUAUGUCAAAAGGCAUUAAUAAAUCAUGUUCUUGUAAAAUAUCUCUAUAACUGAUAACGGUAGUUCAGCCGGGAUAUGCUCAUUUCAAAAUUAGAUUUACAGCCCCGAAAUAUUGUUAUUGUUUACAUUUGUUGCCCUGCACCGUUUGACCAAUUAGAAAGUCCGUGAGUGUGUGUGUCACAUCCAGGUUGCCAGUUAGGCACCGCCAUCUUCGUCUGGUUACUGCCACUGGUAAAGUUACUAAACAUGUCAGACCUUAGUAAAUCUCAAAGACGUCGUUACGGUUCUCAACU
This is a long non-coding RNA of Nerophis lumbriciformis (worm pipefish), 1305 nucleotides long. RefSeq lists it as uncharacterized. NCBI's taxonomy places the organism in Eukaryota, Metazoa, Chordata, Actinopteri, Syngnathiformes, Syngnathidae. The record is from RefSeq and is a predicted model, not a curated record.